RNAcentral lists this long non-coding RNA (1030 nucleotides) under Manacus vitellinus (golden-collared manakin). Its description in RNAcentral is "lncRNA (ENSMVIG00005010040.1)". The record is from RNAcentral. Lineage: Eukaryota; Metazoa; Chordata; Aves; Passeriformes; Pipridae.
GGGAGACGAAGCCAAGAGGGGGGAUCCCAGGCUGACUGCACUGAAUUUCCCAGGCAGUGCCCCCUUCCCCUACGCCCGCCGCCACUCGCCUGGUUGGGGUCAGUGGCCCGGAAGACGUGGCAGGCCAUGGGGGAGUCGGGGUUGUCGGGCUGCGCCUUGAUCAGGCUUGUUUUUCCUGCUCGAGUUUUAGUUGUGGGGGUUUCGCCAUCGCUAUCGCGAUAACAUCUCUUGUCAACGACAAAUCCGCCACCUACUGCAGAUGUUAGUAACUAGCCUCCUCUACCUGAGAAAGUAGUUGGACAAAGCUCUGCCAGUCAUACAUCAUCCGUAUCCCUUUGGUAAUUGCCAGUUGUAGCGACUGUCUCCUUGUUUACAUCUGUAGCAACAGCGGGGAUGACUCGCAGUAAAACGUUACUAUGGGUCCCGUUUUAACUGCCUAGAGAUAAAAAGUCUGUAGCUUGAGCUGAAGAGCUGGUCGGUGUAAUUUGAGGCUGCAUCAUUAUUAGGGCAGAGAGGGGUCACGUAGCACUCAGGUCACAGCCCACAGCAGUCUGAACUGACACACAAACUGUCGCAUUAGCGUUAUUUUCAUAGCAGUAUAAACCACUCAGCUUAUUUUCUGAGCAAACUAUUUUGCUCUUCAUAUUUUUCCAGUUUAACCAUCUAAUUUAUCCAUUUUGGUUUAUCAGUUGUAGUUUUCAGUUUUAACAUUCUGGUUUGGCAAGACCUCAAAUACAUAUCCUCUCAUGGCAUCCUCCAAGCCUUAAGGGACAUCCUGCAAUGUCCCUUGGGACAGGAGCGCUAAUGCAAAAAGUCUUAUGUAGGCAGAACACCAGCUUCAAUAUGUGCUACAGUGGUACAAGUUAAAGCCAGACUGGCAUUGCUUCCCUAAGCUAUUUUUGCACACUUUAACAUCUGAACUGCAUUGUUGUACAGUAGAUUUUACAACGAGGGUAACUAGAAGAAUAAUGGCCAAAUUUUUUGGAUCAUAAAACUAAAAAAUUUCUUGUCCCUCACUCUGCACAGUUAG